UCCACAAUUCAGCAGUUGAGUUCGCCGA
This 28-nucleotide non-coding RNA is filed under the name Bombyx mori (domestic silkworm). The record is from RNAcentral. Lineage: Eukaryota; Metazoa; Arthropoda; Insecta; Lepidoptera; Bombycidae.